AGGCGCUGAUGAUUCAAAUUUAUACCAUCAAACUUUGAGAGCUUUCAGAGGAAGCUUGUUGAUGUAAAUCUUCUACUAUUCUCUGAGCCG
This is a small nucleolar RNA of Pistacia vera, 90 nucleotides long. RefSeq annotates it as small nucleolar RNA snoR116. NCBI's taxonomy places the organism in Eukaryota, Viridiplantae, Streptophyta, Magnoliopsida, Sapindales, Anacardiaceae. The record is from RefSeq and is a predicted model, not a curated record. The transcript has a single exon.